RNAcentral lists this ribosomal RNA (433 nucleotides) under uncultured bacterium. RNAcentral describes it as "partial 16S ribosomal RNA". It matches the Rfam family "Bacterial small subunit ribosomal RNA", at positions 29 to 507 of the family's 1533-position model. The record is from RNAcentral.
AACGAACGCUGGCGGCAUGCCUAACACAUGCAAGUCGAACGAGACCUUCGGGUCUAGUGGCGCACGGGUGCGUAACGCGUGGGAACCUGCCCUUAGGUUCGGAAUAACUCCCCGAAAGGGGUGCUAAUACGGGAUAAUGUCUUCGGACCAAAGAUAUAUCGCCUUUGGAUGGGCCCGCGUUGGAUUCGCUAGUUGGUAGCGUAAACGCCUACCAAGGCGGCGAUACAUAGCUGGUCUGAGAGGAUGAUCCGACACACUGGGACUGAGACACGGCCCAGACUCUUGCGGGAGGCAGCAGUGGGGAAUAUGGGACGACGGGCGAAAGCCUGAUCCUGCAAUGCCGCGUGAGUGAUGAAGGCCUUAGGGUUGUAAAGCUCUUUUACACGUGAUGAUAAUGACAGUACCGGGAGAAUAAGCUCCGGCUAACUCCGUG